Camellia sinensis is the source of this 464-nucleotide non-coding RNA. NCBI's taxonomy places the organism in Eukaryota, Viridiplantae, Streptophyta, Magnoliopsida, Ericales, Theaceae. The record is from RefSeq and is a predicted model, not a curated record.
UUUUCUAGUGUAAACAUGAAAACAGUUGACAUUUUCAAGUAUAUUUAACAUAAAAAGCUUAUAUUAUUAAUUUAAACUUGUUUUUAACUUUGAAUUGUUAAGCCAAGAUAUGGUUUUUUAAAUAUAUAUAGGCAAUGACAUAUGUUGACAGAUUUGAUGAUGCGGUGGCAGCGGCUCAAAGAGCAGUACGGCUGGACUCAAGCAGCAAGGAAGUGAACAUGGUGGUUAGGAGGACACGGGCGGUGGCAAUGGCUCGAUCUAACGAGCCACUUACAGGUCCAAACUUGGUCAAUUUGAGAAAGCAAUCAAGGACUGGACUGCUGCCCUUAAUGUGCGCCCACCUUACAGGAAAGCCAGAUUAAGAAGAGUCAAUUGAUAUGCCAAGGUUAUGGCAAGCAAGACAAAGAUCUACAUUGUGCUCGAGUAUGUUGGCGAGGGCGAGUUUUUUGACAAAAUAAUAAGGC